Molecule: long non-coding RNA, 471 nt
Filed under: Mus spicilegus (steppe mouse)
Lineage: Eukaryota; Metazoa; Chordata; Mammalia; Rodentia; Muridae
Description: lncRNA (ENSMSIG00000012106.1)
Source: RNAcentral
CUUGCCCAAGCUUCUUAUGGUUUCGUGUCACAGUGCCAGGAACCUCCCUCCACUGAGAGUUCCAUGCCUUUAUACUCUGAAGUUCUUUCUCAAUGUCUCUGCCAGAUUUCCUUCACACACGUCUUGUUCACUUUGGAAUCACCACGUGAGAGGGAAACCAUACGGAACCAAGAGUACCCACUGGGAGUGGGAAACCAGGAAGAAUCGAGUCACCACGGCCUUGUCUGGGUCGAAAAGCAAGCUUCUGGAAGAAGGAGCCAUGUGAUCGCCUACUCCAGAGGUUUCUUUACCCAUCCAGAUCACGGCAAAGUUCUGGCAAUCACUGGCAAUCACUUCACAAAAGUAAGUUGGAGUCAGCAGUUCCUGUCAUGGCAGAGCUUUCGUCUACACACGUGCAUUCUUCUCAGUCCGGGGGUAAACAUCAAAGCUCCAGCUGCAGUGUUCACAAAGGAACGUUUUCAUCCCAAAUAA